Molecule: ribosomal RNA, 429 nt
Filed under: uncultured bacterium
Lineage: Bacteria
Description: bacterial SSU rRNA
Rfam family: Bacterial small subunit ribosomal RNA
Source: RNAcentral
UGGGGAAUUUUGGACAAUGGGCGCAAGCCUGAUCCAGCCAUGCCGCGUGCGGGAAGAAGGCCUUCGGGUUGUAAACCGCUUUUGUCAGGGAAGAAACGGUCUGAACUAAUAAUUUGGGCUAAUGACGGUACCUGAAGAAUAAGCACCGGCUAACUACGUGCCAGCAGCCGCGGUAAUACGUAGGGUGCAAGCGUUAAUCGGAAUUACUGGGCGUAAAGCGUGCGCAGGCGGUUCUAUAAGACAGAUGUGAAAUCCCCGGGCUCAACCUGGGAACUGCAUUUGUGACUGUAGAGCUUGAGUGCGGCAGAGGGGGAUGGAAUUCCGCGUGUAGCAGUGAAAUGCGUAGAUAUGCGGAGGAACACCGAUGGCGAAGGCAAUCCCCUGGGCCUGCACUGACGCUCAUGCACGAAAGCGUGGGGAGCAAACAGG